UCAAUUAUGGAGCUCCUCGAAGAAGAAUCAGAUCAAACAGACUUCAGAUGAAGGAGUUACGCAAUUUACAAAAUAGGUGAUCUUCAGUUUAUGCGAAUUUGGACCUAUGUGCAUUCAAUGAACAAUUCCGACCAGCCCAGAUGGAAUUAAGCCACAAGCCCAAUUGUUCUACAAUCAUGGUACAUCAGAGAAGCCCAUAAAAGUGGAUUCAGCCCAAAAAUAUCAAAGGAAGACUGAUUUUCGUCCAGAUUCAAAAUAGCAUUUAUUUAAAUGUGUUUAUCUCUCUUGCAUGCAGAAUAGAGUUUGAAUUUCAACUCUCAAGUGGUGCUUCAUGUUAGGAUACUUUUAUGGACGAAAAUUACUUGUAUUUCUCUAUAAAAAGAGCCCAAAAAUCAUGAAUAAGAAUAAGUUUGUUUUUCAGUGAAAACUAGAGAAGUUUCUCUCUUUCAAGAUGUGAUGUCUUGUAAUUUUUGGAACUCCAUGUUCAUGGUGUGUCAUAUCUAUGUUCAUGGCUGGUCUAGACGUAUCAUAGAUCCUUUCACAGAUCUUUGUGGCGUCUCUCAAUCCAUCUCUCUAUCCAUUCCUUGUUGGUGUGUCAUAUCCAGCAAGCUGUCAAUUUAUUUGGUGUGUAAUAUCUAGAGAAUCGAUCCACUGGUGAAUCAAAGGAAUUUCCGCAACCUUUGUUGUGCUAUUCAAUCCACAUCCUUUGAUCUUUGAGAUUUCACAGUCUCUAGGAUGCAAAGCUUAUCCCCUCACCACCUUAGAGUGCAUCAUCCUUGGGAGGUUUACAUUAUUUGGUAUCAAAGCAACACUCUAAGUCUGGUUUUAUCAUUCCAUAUGUCUAUCAUUUUCUCACCUAUUCAUCUUCUUUCAAUCAUCUUCUCAUCUUUCAUUCUCUAUUUCUUUUUUUUUUCUUUCUUUCUAUUUUUAUAAUUAUUUCGUCAGAGAGAAAGUGCUACUAGAUACUCUUCUUUUAUACGAACCAGAUUUGUGAGCAAAUCUUUUUUUUAAGAGGAAGGGAAUGAUAUGAUCAUGGGAAACAGUAAAGAUGUACGUUCAUUGUUUGACUCAUAUCUUCGAAACCACGAGGCUUCUACGCAUGAAAUCACUUGGAAAAUGUGCUCAACUCAAUUACGGAGCUCCUCGAAGAAAAAUCAGAUCAAACGGACUUCAGAUGAAGGAGUUACGCAAUUUACAAAACAGGUGAUCUUCAGUUUAUGCGAAUUUGGACCUAUGUGCAUUCAAUGAACAAUUCCGACCAGCCCAGAUGGAAUUAAGCCACAAGCCCAAUUUUUCUACAAUCUUGGUACAUCAGAGAAGUCCAUAAAAGUGGAUUCAGCCCAAAAAUAUCAAAAGAAGACUGAUUUUCGUCCAGAUUUAAAAUAGUAUUUAUUUAAGUGUGUUUCUCUCUUUCAUCUUUCAUUCUCUAUUUCUUUUUUUUUUCUUUCUUUCUAUUUUUAUAAUUAUUUCGUCAGAGAGAAAGUGCUACUAGAUACUCUUCUUUUAUACGAACCAGAUUUGUGAGCAAAUCUUUUUUUUAAGAGGAAGGGAAUGAUAUGAUCAUGGGAAACAGUAAAGAUGUACGUUCAUUGUUUGACUCAUAUCUUCGAAACCACGAGGCUUCUACGCAUGAAAUCACUUGGAAAAUGUGCUCAACUCAAUUACGGAGCUCCUCGAAGAAAAAUCAGAUCAAACGGACUUCAGAUGAAGGAGUUACGCAAUUUACAAAACAGGUGAUCUUCAGUUUAUGCGAAUUUGGACCUAUGUGCAUUCAAUGAACAAUUCCGACCAGCCCAGAUGGAAUUAAGCCACAAGCCCAAUUGUUCUACAAUCUUGGUACAUCAGAGAAGCCCAUAAAAGUGGAUUCAGCCCAAAAAUAUCAAAAGAAGACUGAUUUUCGUCCAGAUUUGUCUAGAUUCAAAAUAGCAUUUAUUUAAGUGUGUUUCUCUCUCUUGCAUGCAGAAUAGAGUUUGAAUUUCAACUCCCAAGUUGUGCUGCAUGUUAGGAUACUUUUAUGGACGAAAAUUACUUGUAUUUCUCUAUAAAAAGAGCCCAAAAAUCAUGAAUAAGAAUAAGUUUGUUUUUCAGUGAAAAUUAGAGAAGUUUCUCUCUUUCAAGAUGUGAUGUCUUGUAAUUUUUGGAACUCCAUGUUCAUGGUGUGCAUGGCCGGCCUUGAGGGGAAGCCAUCCAAGCCAAGGAUUAGGGCAUCCAAAUUAGUGGGGCA
This 2224-nucleotide long non-coding RNA is filed under the name Brassica napus (rape). Its description in RNAcentral is "long non-coding RNA (BNAP_LNC005197)". Lineage: Eukaryota; Viridiplantae; Streptophyta; Magnoliopsida; Brassicales; Brassicaceae. The record is from RNAcentral.